AGCCGCGCGAUAAGCACAUAGCGAACUAUUCUUUCGCCUUUUACUAAAGAAUACCGUGUGCUUGCCGCUAUACAAGCGGCAUACGCCUCUUUUUGGAGGGUGUCUUUCUUUUUUAAAGAUA
Molecule: small nuclear RNA, 121 nt
Filed under: Erythranthe guttata (spotted monkey flower)
Lineage: Eukaryota; Viridiplantae; Streptophyta; Magnoliopsida; Lamiales; Phrymaceae
Description: Mimulus guttatus (spotted monkey flower) U5 spliceosomal RNA
Rfam family: U5 spliceosomal RNA
About the family: U5 RNA is a component of both types of known spliceosome.
Source: Rfam by way of RNAcentral